AUUUUAUCCAGUUUUUCAAGUUUUUUUAUCUGAAUUGAUGGGUCGGAAGUCAUAUUGCACUGUUGAAAGAGCCCGGUUGGUUUCAAUCCUCAGAAAGCAUGGAAAAUCACUUCGGGAAAUUGGGAAAUUA
Molecule: long non-coding RNA, 130 nt
Organism: Bactrocera latifrons
Lineage: Eukaryota; Metazoa; Arthropoda; Insecta; Diptera; Tephritidae
Exons: 2
Source: RefSeq, a predicted model, not a curated record